RNAcentral lists this ribosomal RNA (253 nucleotides) under uncultured bacterium. RNAcentral describes it as "partial 16S ribosomal RNA". It matches the Rfam family "Bacterial small subunit ribosomal RNA", at positions 524 to 776 of the family's 1533-position model. The record is from RNAcentral.
UACGAAGGGGGCUAGCGUUGCUCGGAAUCACUGGGCGUAAAGGGUGCGUAGGCGGGUCUUUAAGUCAGAGGUGAAAUCCUGGAGCUCAACUCCAGAACUGCCUUUGAUACUGGCAACCUAGAGACUGGAAGAGGUUAGUGGAAUUCCCAGUGUAGAGGUGAAAUUCGUAGAUAUUGGGAAGAACACCAGUGGCGAAGGCGGCUAACUGGUCCAGCACUGACGCUGAGGUGCGAAAGCGUGGGGAGCAAACAGG